GACGAACGCUGGCGGCGUGCUUAACACAUGCAAGUCGAACGGAAAGGCCCUGCUUUUGUGGGGUUCUCGAUUGGCGAACGGGUGAGGAACACGUGAGUAACCUGCCCUUGACUUUGGGAUAACUUCAGGAAACUGGGGCUAAUACCGGAUAGGAGCUCCUGCUGCAUGGUGGGGGUUGGAAAGUUUCGGCGGUUGGGGAUGGACUCGCGGCUUAUCAGCUUGUUGGUGGGGUAGUGGCUUACCAAGGCUUUGACGGGUAGCCGGCCUGAGAGGGUGACCGGCCACAUUGGGACUGAGAUACGGACCAGACUCCUACGGGAGGCAGCAGUGGGGAAUAUUGCACAAUGGGCGGAAGCCUGAUGCAGCAACGCCGCGUGCGGGAUGACCGCCUUCGGGUUGUAAACCGCUUUCGCCUGUGACGAAGCGUGAGUGACGGUAAUGGGUAAAGAAGCACCGGCUAACUACGUG
RNAcentral lists this ribosomal RNA (468 nucleotides) under uncultured bacterium. RNAcentral's name for it is "partial 16S ribosomal RNA". It matches the Rfam family "Bacterial small subunit ribosomal RNA", at positions 28 to 507 of the family's 1533-position model. The record is from RNAcentral.